This is a long non-coding RNA of Gallus gallus (chicken), 699 nucleotides long. The record is from Ensembl. NCBI's taxonomy places the organism in Eukaryota, Metazoa, Chordata, Aves, Galliformes, Phasianidae.
GGGGGAUGGAAAAAGAUAUUUGGCUUUUACACCCGCCAAACACGUUUCUGUGUCCAUAACAUUUUGUUCCAGCACUAUCUCUGGCAAACAGGUGGUCUUGUUUGCACAAGCAAGUAAUUAGCAGAGGCGGGGUUAUUAGGUGAGUAUUUUUGGCAGGCUGUUUUUCUCUGAGUAUGUUUUGCUCUUAAGUUAACUAGGCACCUGGCAGCAAUUACAGCCAAAGCCAGGCAACCCAGCUAGGCUACCCAGGUUAAUGAAAAAACCAUAACCGCACUGCUUUGAAGGGUGUGUAACAGAGGGCAAUCUUCAUGAAGAGGGAGAACUGAACUGAUAGGAUGAAAGGUGUUAACUGUGGGAGCAGCUACUACAGACUUUUCCUCCUUCUCCCUUCAAGAUCAGCGACGGUGACCAUUGUUCAGAGCCUACAUAAAGCCUUUCAACAAUACAACUUACUACAGUCAUUUUAAAAGAAAUCGUGGAGCAUAGGUUUGAAUUGCAUUCUCUGUUCUAGGAAAGCUACAGGUAUCAGGCUGUAACUACUCUGCCAAUGAGGUUAAUGAAGAAGCUGAAGAGACACUGGUUUUAAAUUGGAACAGGAAUGAAGGUAAAUAGCAAAGAUGUCACAGAAAGGAAAGAGCAUGCCAGGCCACCCCAUCACUGAGCAGGGUAUCACAGUGCAGAGACAAGUCCCGACACCAG